UCACCACGGUGUGGUUCAUGACUGGGGUGAAGUCGUAACAAGGUAGCCGUAGGGGAACCUGCGGCUGGAUCACCUCCUUA
This 80-nucleotide ribosomal RNA is filed under the name Halomonas sp. MC140. RNAcentral's name for it is "partial 16S ribosomal RNA". It matches the Rfam family "Bacterial small subunit ribosomal RNA", at positions 1454 to 1533 of the family's 1533-position model. The record is from RNAcentral. RNAcentral also lists the same sequence under 1 other name. Lineage: Bacteria; Pseudomonadati; Pseudomonadota; Gammaproteobacteria; Oceanospirillales; Halomonadaceae.